Columba livia (rock pigeon) is the source of this 1352-nucleotide long non-coding RNA. RefSeq lists it as uncharacterized. The transcript has 3 exons. NCBI's taxonomy places the organism in Eukaryota, Metazoa, Chordata, Aves, Columbiformes, Columbidae. The record is from RefSeq and is a predicted model, not a curated record.
CCCGUGUAUGUGUGUGUGUGAGCCCGGGCGGGAGCCGCACACGGCGGCAGCCGGGGCUGCGGGCUGGAGGGCUCGGUCCUGUGUGUGGAGCCUGAGCUAUGGAAAUGCGAAACCUCGAAAUAAAACAUGAGAAGAUGAAGGGGUUGGACAAAUUCAGCUGGAGGAGAGAGAGCGAGCUGCUGUCUUAAAAGCAGCCAGCGGAGGCUAAUGAGACCUUUGGGGCAGCUGAAGAAGGUAGCAGGGUUCUAUCCGUGUUUCAGGAGACAACAUGGGCCGUGUGAUGUGCUCUGACCUGCCUCCUAUUGUACAAUUUUGCCGUUGGCUUCAGCGAGGGAAAGACCGAGUUUUAUCUGAAUAAAGUCCAGCAAACUUUGCUGGAUGGCAGCCCUUCCUCUCCUUCCUCCUUUGAGCUUCAUUCAGAGUCGGUGUAAAACUAGUCUGGAUGUCAAAUGUCUCUUUUAAAGCUUUUCCCACAAGCACAUGCUUCUCUAAGAGUUGCUUAAUAAUAAUUAAAAUAAUUACAAUAUUUUGUGACUCCUUUUUUUUUUUUUUUUUUUUUUUUUAAGUUUCUCUUUAAGGCUGAGUGCAACUGUCAGCCGAGAGGAUGAAAUUUUAGGUCACUGUAGAGUUUAUUUCCAGGGGUCGUUAAUUAGUAAUGUUGCAGAAGUGAAGGCAGAAACUUCUUGGCUGAGAUUAGGUUAUGUAGGAAGGAAAACCUGUCAGUGGACUCCAUUACAUCUGUAACCAGGGACGACUUUCUUGUCCAGAAAAAGAGAAACGUUGCAAAGAAUAGGGACAGACAAUGAUCUUCAAGGAAGAAACGGAGGGCGGUGGGACAAUUUGGGCUGCCCGGAACUGAGCCGACCUGAGCCCCGAGAAAUGUGGGGUGGAAAAGGCUCUGGGGCAAGGAAAAAAACCCAAAUGGGGAAGGGAGGAAGAUGACACUUAAGAUAACUAAACAGUUUGUGAUUAGGGGAAGAGAGCGGCCGAUGAAGCCGCGUUCAAAAUUAGGAUUAUCCUUCAACCUGGGAAUGGAGAGGGGCUGAAUUUGACUUCGCCCGCAUGGCGGUGGUUUGUGUGUAGCGAAGGAAAGUUUUAACCCAAAUAUCUGACAAGCAGCGAUAAUCACCGGAAUGGUUAAAAAGACACUGGGAAGAAUCAAAAAGGCGAAGGGAAAAAAAAAAAAAAAAAAAAAAAAGACAACACAUAUACACACAAAAACAAAACCCCCAAAAAACCGCGAAGCUGCCAAAGAAGCCCGUAAGGGAACGAACGGGGGAAUGCACAGAAAAAAGGAAAGAAAAAUUAUUCUAUGAUGCCUCUAUAUUCCGACAGGAAUAAAUGUAAAAUGA